GAUGAAGAACGUAGCGAAAUGCGAUACUUGGUGUGAAUUGCAGAAUCCCGUGAACCAUCGAGUCUUUGAACGCAAGUUGCGCCUCAAGCCAUUAGGUUGAGGGCACGUCUGCCUGGGCGUCACAUAUCGUUGCCUGAUGCCAGUUUCCUCGUGAUGGGUGACUGUGCAGGGCGAAUGAUGGCUUCCCGUGAGCAUUGUUGCCUCAUGGUUGGUUGAAAAUUGAGUCCUUGGUAGGGAGCGCCGUGAUAGAUGGUGGUUGAGUGACGAACGAGACCCAAUCAUGUGAGACCCCUACCGAAUUUGGCCUUCAUGACCCACAUGCUUCUUUGGAACGCUCAUGACGAGACCUCAGGUCAGGCGGGGCUACCCGCUGAGUUUAAGCAUAUCAAUAAGCGGAGGA
This 400-nucleotide unclassified non-coding RNA is filed under the name soil metagenome. RNAcentral describes it as "partial contains 5.8S ribosomal RNA, internal transcribed spacer 2, and large subunit ribosomal RNA". The stretch from base 1 to 122 matches the Rfam family "5.8S ribosomal RNA", at positions 35 to 154 of the family's 154-position model. The record is from RNAcentral.